This is a long non-coding RNA of Thalassophryne amazonica, 111 nucleotides long. RefSeq lists it as uncharacterized. Lineage: Eukaryota; Metazoa; Chordata; Actinopteri; Batrachoidiformes; Batrachoididae. The transcript is spliced from 3 exons. The record is from RefSeq and is a predicted model, not a curated record.
UUUUUUAAAUGUGGGUAAGAAAUAAACACUUCUAAAUCUAUAAAUGCUGUUUUUGCAACCAGAUAACACCUGUGAAAUGAUUUACAAGGCAUCUUACAGAUGUUACACACC